CCCAGACUCCUACGGGAGGCAGCAGUGGGGAAUAUUGCACAAUGGGGGAAACCCUGAUGCAGCGACGCCGCGUGAGCGAAGAAGUAUUUCGGUAUGUAAAGCUCUAUCAGCAGGGAAGAAAAAAAUGACGGUACCUGAGUAAGAAGCACCGGCUAAAUACGUGCCAGCAGCCGCGGUAAUACGUAUGGUGCAAGCGUUAUCCGGAUUUACUGGGUGUAAAGGGAGCGUAGGCGGCGCGUUAAGUCUGAUGUGAAAACCCGAGGCUCAACCACGGGAGUGCAUUGGAAACUGGCGGGCUGGAGUGCCGGAGAGGUAAGCGGAAUUCCUAGUGUAGCGGUGAAAUGCGUAGAUAUUAGGAGGAACACCAGUGGCGAAGGCGGCUUACUGGACGGCAACUGACGCUGAGGCUCGAAAGCGUGGGGAGCAAACAGGAUUAGAUACCCCAGUA
RNAcentral lists this ribosomal RNA (448 nucleotides) under uncultured bacterium. Its description in RNAcentral is "bacterial SSU rRNA". It matches the Rfam family "Bacterial small subunit ribosomal RNA", at positions 330 to 792 of the family's 1533-position model. The record is from RNAcentral.